UACGAAGGAUGCAAGCGUUAUCCGGAUUUAUUGGGUUUAAAGGGAGCGUAGGCGGUCUUAUAAGUCAGUGGUGAAAUCUUAUCGCUUAACGAUAAACGUGCCAUUGAUACUGUAGGACUUGAGUACAGAUGCCGUUGGCGGAAUGUGUCAUGUAGCGGUGAAAUGCAUAGAUAUGACACAGAACACCGAUUGCGAAGGCAGCUGACGAAACUGUAACUGACGCUGAGGCUCGAAAGCGUGGGGAUCAAACAGG
RNAcentral lists this ribosomal RNA (253 nucleotides) under uncultured bacterium. Its description in RNAcentral is "partial 16S ribosomal RNA". It matches the Rfam family "Bacterial small subunit ribosomal RNA", at positions 524 to 776 of the family's 1533-position model. The record is from RNAcentral.